RNAcentral lists this ribosomal RNA (388 nucleotides) under Chaetoceros brevis. RNAcentral's name for it is "partial Eukaryotic small subunit ribosomal RNA". It matches the Rfam family "Eukaryotic small subunit ribosomal RNA", at positions 36 to 427 of the family's 1831-position model. The record is from RNAcentral. Lineage: Eukaryota; Bacillariophyta; Thalassiosirophyceae; Chaetocerotales; Chaetocerotaceae.
CUCAAAGAUUAAGCCAUGCAUGUCUAAGUAUAAGCAACUAUACGGUGAAACUGCGAAUGGCUCAUUAAAUCAGUUAUCGUUUAUUUGAUAGUACCUUACUACAUGGAUACCUGUGGUAAUUCUAGAGCUAAUACAUGCUAAAAACCCCGACUUCAGGAAGGGGUGUAUUUAUUAGAUAAAAAACCAACGCCCUUCGGGGCUCCUUGGUGAAUCAUAAUAACUUAACGAAUCGCAUGGCCUUGCGCCGGCGAUGGUUCAUUCAAAUUUCUGCCCUAUCAACUUUCGAUGGUAGGAUAGUGGCCUACCAUGGUAUCAACGGGUAACGGGGAAUUAGGGUUCUAUUCCGGAGAGGGAGCCUGAGAAAUGGCUACCACAUCUAAGGAAGGCA